This is a long non-coding RNA of Osmerus eperlanus (European smelt), 772 nucleotides long. RefSeq lists it as uncharacterized. The transcript is spliced from 5 exons. The record is from RefSeq and is a predicted model, not a curated record. NCBI's taxonomy places the organism in Eukaryota, Metazoa, Chordata, Actinopteri, Osmeriformes, Osmeridae.
GGCACACAUGUUAAUAGCAUACAUUAGUACCACUUGUUAAGACCAUAUGUUAGUACCAUACAUAGAUGAGCUGUUCUGCUAGCUACAGGAAGUAUCAUUCUUACUCUUAUUCAGUGAUAUAAUGUAUCCCUGUCCCAGAGGUCCAGGCCUGAGUGCACAGUAAUGUUCUUAGUCAUGGAGAGAUUCCUGACUGGGUCAGGGUUAAAUGGUUAGGGUUAUACGGUUCUUGAGUAUUAGGAUAUUUCCUCUUACUAGUGUAAACAGGCUUUCGCCUACUUGAUUUUUCAGCCUCCUAUCAGUUGAGGACUCUCUGAUGCAGGUUAUGAUCAGUUGAGGACUCUUUGCUGCAGGUUAUGAUCAGUUGAGGACUCUUUGCUGCAGGUUAUGAUCAGUUGAGGACUCUUGCUGCAGGUUAUGAUCAGUUGAGGACUCUUUGCUGCAGGUUAUGAUCAGUUGAGGACUCUCUGAUGCAGGUUAUGAUCAGUUGAGGACUCUCUGAUGCAGGUCAUGAUCAGUUGAGGACUCUUGCUGCAGGUUAUGAUCAGUUGAGGACUCUUUGCUGCAAGUUAUGAUCAGUUGAGGACUCUUUGCUGCAGGUUAUGAUCAGUUGAGGACUCUCUGAUGCAGGUUAUGAUCAGUUGAGGACUCUCUGAUGCAGGUUAUGAUCAGUUGAGGACUCUUGCUGCAGGUUAUGAUCAGUUGAGGACUGUCUGAUGCAGGUUAUGAUCAGUUGAGGACUCUUUGAUGCAGGUUAUGAUCAGUUGAGGACUCU